AACCUAUUAGCUCAAAUGGUAGAGCACUAUGCAUAUGAUAUGCAUAAGGGACGUGGGUUCGAUUCCCACAUAGGUUG
Non-coding RNA from Spinacia oleracea (spinach), 77 nucleotides. NCBI's taxonomy places the organism in Eukaryota, Viridiplantae, Streptophyta, Magnoliopsida, Caryophyllales, Amaranthaceae. The record is from Rfam.